RNAcentral lists this long non-coding RNA (225 nucleotides) under Capsicum annuum. RNAcentral's name for it is "long non-coding RNA (CANN_LNC000356)". Lineage: Eukaryota; Viridiplantae; Streptophyta; Magnoliopsida; Solanales; Solanaceae. The record is from RNAcentral.
GGCACCACAACAACUUUUUUACAAUGUUGAAUUUCUACCACAAUGAAAACAACUUUACAGAUGUGGACAGCAACGAGAGUUGACAGUACAGAUCGGGUCUAAUGCGCUUACCUGCUUUGUCAUCCGUUCCCCAUGAAAUAAGAUCCCUCUAAGAGAUAAUUUUCCCCUUGAAUGAACAUUCUAAUCAGACAACUUGUUCUCUUGUAUCCCUUUGAGAUCUCAAUU